Molecule: long non-coding RNA, 558 nt
Organism: Tupaia belangeri chinensis (Chinese tree shrew)
Lineage: Eukaryota; Metazoa; Chordata; Mammalia; Scandentia; Tupaiidae
Exons: 5
Source: RefSeq, a predicted model, not a curated record
CUUCAAAGGAAGAAACUCUUAGAAGCCUUUUCAGAUUUUUCUUCGGUUAUAAUGUCCUCACUGAUUUUAUCGUCCUCUACAUUGAUAAAAGAGCUCCAGCUGCACCCAGAGGUCACCAUAAUUGACAUUCACAUUUGAAUUCUCCUCAUUUAUGCUUAAAUGUUAUGGAGACUACCAGUCUUACAACCAACUAAUGCUCCUGAGAGCAGCGCAACAAGAAAUGGAGUAGCAAAGUGAAGAAAGGCUGGAAAUUACUCAUAAAGAAAAACCACAAUCAAGAAUGAUGUACUCUGUAGUUUCUUUGGACUCUUUAUUAUUAGCAUGGCUGAGCAUUGGAGAGCUCUGUGCAUUUACCUUGGUGAGGAGUAAUGAUAAAUUGGUGCGGAAGGAGACAGUGUGUGGAUAUAGUAGAAAAGCUGAAGCCCAAGCUACAGGGUGCAGAUUUUAUACCGAAGGCAGUGGAGCUACUUAUUGGUGCCCUAGAGGCAUGAUUCAAAGAGAUAUUAACCUCUCCCAGCAAUUUUUUCAGACUGACAGGCAGUGUAACAAACAGGAUAG